AGGUGAGAUGGGAAGGGGUAGGAUAGAAAAAAAAAAGUACGUGGAGGCAUUUUUUCUGCAAGAAGAAAGGUAUGUUGGAAUUGCAUCUUCAUUCUAUUUGCAGCUGUUUUUACUCUGGCAGUGCUGAGCAGAUUUGUUUCAGUCAGGAAUACAUUAAGACUCUGGCACACUGUAAUUUGGAAUACCUUCCCUCUGGCUGUGUUUCAACACUAUUGGGAUCUUGUUAUCAAUACCAGCUUAAGGAAGUCCUGCCUUUCUCUUGGGUGGACACAGCCGGGAAAUGGAUCGGCAAAAUUAUCUGUGUUAAAAACAAACCCCUGCUCACAAGAAACAGGCAUGUGUGGUGGAGUAGGAAGGAGUUGGAGGUGGUGGGCAGGAGCUCAUCGAGAUGUUAUUGCUCCCAAUGCCCCCAUGUAAUCAUACCGCAGGCUCAGAUACCACAGAGGGACCAGCUAUUGGGGUGUAGCUUGCAGCUUUUUGUAUCAGUGUGCUGUAAAUCUAGGUAAUGCCAUCAGUCCUGGAGGUAAGCAGCUGAGGAUGCAUUUAAAGAAGUAAGGAGAAAGUGAAAAAUAUAAAUGGAGAGACAGAUCCAGCACAUGGAGAGGGCCUUCAUGGAGUAUGAGGGCACAUCAGACAUAAACAGAGAAUUAUCACGUAUGCUGCACACAUAUAUUAUCUGCAGUUACAUUAGCACAUGCUCUAGACCUGAAAUUGUUACUACCUAUUCAUUGUGAAAAAAAAUCAGAUUCUUAACUAAUACAAAACCUGAUAUCUAACACGAGACCUAAGCUGUCUUGUGGUGGUUGUGUCGUGGUCUUUGAUUAAAAGGAGAGGUCAGAAAUUACUCAUAGUAAUGGUUGCUAUUUAUGCGGUGCCUCUUUAACUAGAGCUAGUGCAGAGUGCCUGCAGAUCUGUUUUCAGUUACUCAGAAUCCUCAUCAUGCAUCAUAUUUAUGCAAGAAUAAAAUUCAUCCAAAAUUUCCAAACUUGGUAUGUAGAGCAAGUGUCUUGUUUGCAAAGGUAUGAACCACUGAACUUGGUUAUUCAGCACAUUUGAAAUUCAAUCUGCUGCUCUGAGGUAGCUGGGUACGGCUGGUGAGAGACUAGCUACAGACACUCCACUUUGGCUUGACAGGCAUGUGAGACUUCACAAAAUGGAUCAGGCAUCAAAUGCUCCCUGAGAACAGAGGGAGGUUGUCUUAUUUACUUUCAGAGGUGUUUCUGCAGGGCUUUUUCUUUCAUCAGAAAUCUAGUUUAAGAAAUUGCAAAUGUUCACACAUUUGUCCUAAAUAAAAUACACACGUUUUCUUGACAGAAACGCUUUCAUCCUCAAAAACUUAAUCUUGAAUGAAAAAGGAAAGAGGCAACCAGAAGGGAAAAUAAUUAAUAAUAAUAAAGUCCCACACCAGACUCUCAAGCUUCAUCAGUUCUCUUUGCUCCUCCAGUGUUGUCCUUCUAAGAGACAUUGUUUUUCCUAACUGCUCAUUUAUCCAAGACCAAUUGCUAGGUACUGGUUUGGAAGAAGGAAAGAAUGAAAAAGAAGAGAAUGACUGUCUGAACUUUCAGUGUGAUGACUCCAAGAAUAAGGCAGGAGAUGCAAGAUCCAUCCAUGCAAGAAUUAACAUACCGAGCAGUUUUCUUUGCCGUGAUGACCUAUACUGGAAGCUGCCUUUUCUUUUUAAUCCUAUGGGUAUUCAAAGCUAUCAGAGGCAAGUAUCUGGUGCAAAAAGUCACAAACUGCUUGAUUUCUCACUGCCUUGGAGGGACCUGGCAGCACUCAGCCCAUCGACACUAGAGGAUGGACAGUGUGAUGACAACAGUGACAACUCAAAAAGAGGCUUUAAGGGAGCACUCUGUGUUGCUUGUGAAACAUAAGGCACCCAAAUGGGGCUAUUUAAUCAGCAGGUUGCAGCUCCAACAGUAAAAUAUGUGCACAUGUUAAGUACACAGACUGAAAACCUCUUCUGUUAGUUGGAAGCUUUUGUCUCUGGCUUCAGGAGCAAGGAAGGCAGAUGGGAGAUUCCUCAUUGUCUCAGAAGGAGAGAAAGCAACAGCACUGUACUCCCAAGAAGCCCAGAUCCAGGUACCAGGGCCCUGGGCCACAGGGGACAAGCACAACAAGGAGCCCAGAGGCAUGCAAGGCCAAUUCAGAGAAGAUACGAGAAGGACUGAAACAAGCAGUCUGAUCAAUUUCUGACUGAACAGGAUCUGUGAAAGCUUGCCCCCACCGUUACCACUCCCUGGCUGGAAAUAGGGGUCAGGAGAGGUUGUCCUAUGGGCAUGGCACACAGCAGUUUGCUUCUGCAUCCACCUGUGCCCUACAAGGCUGAGACAGAGCACUUGCUGGGGGGCCAGGGGAGGUGGUAGUCCUGUGCGCUUCGGGCUUCCUCAUGGGCAUUGGGUGGGACUGACUGGAAAGGACUUGGCAGGGAAACGUGUCUUUCACAGCUAUAAUAGUAUUAGGCUGUGGGCCGGAUUAGGAUAAAUGGCUCCAAACUGGGUUGCAUAACAUAGAGCUAAAGUCUGCUGCUUCCAAAGCCGUUCCUAUGGGUCUCACAUCACGGGAGUGUUUCAUCUGGGCCGCUUCUUUUCUGUUCCUGUAUUUCAAACAGUGGGCUGAGGUUACUCUCAUCUGAUGGGUGGAUGGAAGUGGGAAGGCUGGAUCCCUGCGUGGUUCCAGCUGCUUCUCAGAAAACACUGGGUGAGUGUACCCUGAAACUAUGCAGAUCUAUUCCAGAGCUGAGUCUCAGAGUGAUCUGAAAUGUUAGCAGCUGCCCAUAACCUGGAUGCUAUGAGCAGGAAAGGAUGCAAACACAGCUCCAGGGGUGUGCAGCACAUAGAGGAAGUGGGUGGAGGGCUGUGGACAGGACCCUCUCAGACAGGGUGGUGAUAAAAUUGGGCACAUUGCUGGCAAUCUAGGCGGUGUCCACCAGUGCAGAUGGAGGUGGUAGUGGGACGUAUGCCUCCUCAGUACCCAUCACUUCCCACCUGCCUCUAAAUAUCACUUUCUAACUUUCUAAAUCCAGCGUCAUGCCCCUGUGAGAUAUAAAACUGAGUUCUGCUCCUUUCCUGCUCCCCUGGCUCCUGGACUUUGAGAGUUGAUGUUUCUCAUAAUGUAGGGUCUUCUUUUAAGAGGCUAUGAAAGAGCAGGGGAUACCAGGUGCGGCCUCAGCAGCUAUACUUAGAAGAAACCCACUCUGCCUGCAUCUGGAAAUGAUCUUCAUGAGCCUCACCUGGUGUUUAAAUGGCUUAUCUACAGACCAGAUUGUUGUCUGAGAGGGAACUUAGCAUAUGUGUAGAGUGUGGCCUUGCUGUACAAAGCAGAUCACUUGAAGUAUGUGCUCUGAAGUACGUGG
Molecule: RNA transcript, 3355 nt
Organism: Lagopus muta (rock ptarmigan)
Lineage: Eukaryota; Metazoa; Chordata; Aves; Galliformes; Phasianidae
Exons: 3
Source: RefSeq, a predicted model, not a curated record